GGUCAAGUUAUUAAGGGUGCAGGGCGGAUGCCUUGGCACUAGGAGCCGAUGAAGGACGUGAUAAGCUGCGAUAAGCUUCGGGGAGUUGCACGUAAACUUUGAUCCGAAGAUUUCCGAAUGAGGAAACUCACUUAGAGUAAUGUCUAAGUAUCAUUAAGUGAAUACAUAGCUUAAUGAGGGGAACUCAGGGAACUGAAACAUCUAAGUACCUGAAGGAAGAGAAAGAAAUUCGAUUCCGUAAGUAGCGGCGAGCGAACGCGGAUUAGCCCAAACCAAUAAAGUUUUCUUUAUUGGGGUUGCGGACAUAUCAUAACGAAGAGGUAUCGUAAUUGAAGAGGUUUGGAAAGACCCACCACAGAAGGUAAUAGUCCUGUAUGUUAAACGAGAAGACUUCAGAUAUGAUCCAGAGUACCACGGGACACGUGAAACCCUGUGGGAAGCAGGAGGGACCACCCUCCAAGGCUAAAUACUACCUAGUGACCGAUAGCGUAUAGUACCGUGAGGGAAAGGUGAAAAGAACCCCGGGAGGGGAGUGAAAUAGAACCUGAAACCCUGCACUUACAAGCUGUGGAAGCACAUUUCUUGUGUGACCGCGUACUUUUUGUAGAACGGGCCAACGAGUUACGUUAAGUAGCAAGGUUAAGCACUUAAGGUGUGGAGCCGUAGCGAAAGCGAGUUUUAACUGAGCGUUCAGUUACUUGACGUAGACCCGAAACCGGGCGACCUACCCAUGAGCAGGAUGAAGCGAAAGUAAAAUUUCGUGGAGGUCCGAACCCACGAGCGUUGAAAAGCUCGGGGAUGACUUGUGGGUAGCGGUGAAAUUCCAAUCGAGCCCGGAGAUAGCUGGUUCUCCCCGAAAUAGCUUUAGGGCUAGCCUCAAGGUGAGAGAUACGGAGGUAGAGCACUGAAUGUCCUAGGGGGUAUUGCACCUACCGAAGACUAUCAAACUCCGAAUGCCGUCAUCUUAUACUUGGGAGUCAGACUGUGGGUGAUAAGAUUCAUAGUCGAAAGGGCAACAGCCCAGAUCGUCAGCUAAGGUCCCUAAAUGUAAGUUAAGUGGUAAAGGAUGUGGGAUUGCACAGACAACCAGGAUGUUGGCUUAGAAGCAGCCACUCAUUCAAAGAGUGCGUAAUAGCUCACUGGUCGAGUGAUCCUGCGCCGAAGAUUUCCGGGGCUAAAACUUACUACCGAAGCUACGGCAUCAGUAAUGAUGGGUAGGGGAGCUUCCCAUA
This 1232-nucleotide ribosomal RNA is filed under the name Clostridioides difficile. Its description in RNAcentral is "partial 23S ribosomal RNA". It matches the Rfam family "Bacterial large subunit ribosomal RNA", at positions 1 to 1245 of the family's 2925-position model. The record is from RNAcentral. Lineage: Bacteria; Bacillati; Bacillota; Clostridia; Peptostreptococcales; Peptostreptococcaceae.